UCACUUACCUGGACGGGGUCAAUGGGUGAUCAAGACGGUCCAUGGCCUAGGUUGGUGACUUCCAUUGCACUCAGGAGGGGUGCCUGCCUAAGGUCGGCCCAAGUGGUCGAGCCUACUUCAUAAUUUGUGGCAGUGGGGGCUUGUGUUCGCGCAGCCCCUGU
RNAcentral lists this small nuclear RNA (161 nucleotides) under Helianthus annuus (common sunflower). RNAcentral describes it as "sRNA HanXRQr2_Chr08g0321341". It matches the Rfam family "U1 spliceosomal RNA". From Rfam's summary of the family: U1 is a small nuclear RNA (snRNA) component of the spliceosome (involved in pre-mRNA splicing). Its 5' end forms complementary base pairs with the 5' splice junction, thus defining the 5' donor site of an intron. There are significant differences in sequence and secondary structure between metazoan and yeast U1 snRNAs, the latter being much longer (568 nucleotides as compared to 164 nucleotides in human). Lineage: Eukaryota; Viridiplantae; Streptophyta; Magnoliopsida; Asterales; Asteraceae. The record is from Rfam by way of RNAcentral.